Molecule: ribosomal RNA, 498 nt
Filed under: uncultured bacterium
Lineage: Bacteria
Description: partial 16S ribosomal RNA
Rfam family: Bacterial small subunit ribosomal RNA
Source: RNAcentral
GAUGAACGCUAGCGGCAGGCCUAAUACAUGCAAGUCGGACGGGAUUUGGGAGCUUGCUCCUAAUGAGAGUGGCGCACGGGUGCGUAACACGUAUGUAACCUACCUUAAUCAGGGGGAUAGCCCCUCGAAAGAGAGAUUAACACCGCAUAACAUAUUUUUAUGGCAUCGUAGAAAUAUCAAAUAUUUAUAGGAUUAAGAUGGGCAUGCGGAACAUUAGCUAGUUGGUAAGGUAACGGCUUACCAAGGCUACGAUGUUUAGGGGAUCUGAGAGGAUGACCCCCAACACGGGCACUGAGACACGGACCAGACUCCUACGGGAGGCAGCAGUAAGGAAUAUUGGUCAAUGGGCGCAAGCCUGAACCAGCCAUGCCGCGUGCAGGAAGACGGCCCUAUGGGUUGUAAACUGCUUUUGUACCGGAAUAAACCCUUUUACGUGUAGAAGGCUGAAUGUACGGUGAGAAUAAGGAUCGGCUAACUCCGUGCCAGCCGCCGCCGUAA